CUCUUGGAAGUUGAGCAGAGAGCGACGUGGUUGUGGUAGCUGCUGCUGUGGCCACCGCGGGAUAAUAAGCCAGGAUCUGCUAUACCCAUUGACUAACUAUGGAAGAUUAUACCAAAAUAGAGAAAACUGGAGAAGGUACCUAUGGAGUUGUGUAUAAGGGUAGACACAAAACUACAGGUCAAGUGGUAGCCAUGAAAAAAAUCAGACUAGAAAGUGAAGAGGAAGGGGUUCCUAGUACUGCAAUUCGGGAAAUUUCUCUAUUAAAAGAACUUCGUCAUCCAAAUAUAGUCAGUCGUCAGGAUAUGCUUAUGCAGGAUUCCAGGUUAUAUCUCAUCUUCAGUUGACAUUUGGAGGAUACGCACCAUAUUUGCUGAACUAGCAACUAAAAAACCACUUUUCCAUGGGGAUUCAGAAAUUGAUCAACUCUUCAGGAUUUUCAGAGCUUUGGGCACUCCCAACAAUGAAGUGUGGCCAAAAGUGGAAUCUUUACAGGAAACUAUAAGAAUACAUUUCCCAAAUGGAAACCAGGAAGCCUAGCAUCCCAUGUCAAAAACUUGGAUGCAAAUGGCUUGGAUUUGCUCUCGAAAAUGUUAAUCUAUGAUCCAGCCAAACGAAUUUCUGGCAAAAUGGCACUGAAUCAUCCAUAUUUUAAUGACGUGGACAAUCAGAUUAAGAAGAUGUAGCUUUCUGACAAAAAGUUUCCACAUGUUAUAACAACAGAUAGUUGUGUUUUUAUUGUUAACUCUUGUCUAUUUUUGUCUUAUAUAUAUUUCUUUGUUAU
Molecule: RNA transcript, 781 nt
Organism: Macaca mulatta (Rhesus monkey)
Lineage: Eukaryota; Metazoa; Chordata; Mammalia; Primates; Cercopithecidae
Gene name: cyclin-dependent kinase 1 pseudogene
Source: RefSeq, a predicted model, not a curated record